This is a small nucleolar RNA of Cavia porcellus (domestic guinea pig), 131 nucleotides long. Its record names the gene SNORA70. It matches the Rfam family "Small nucleolar RNA SNORA70". From Rfam's summary of the family: snoRNA U70 seems to be exclusive to mammals and is a member of the H/ACA class of snoRNA which contain H (ANANNA) and ACA box motifs. Lineage: Eukaryota; Metazoa; Chordata; Mammalia; Rodentia; Caviidae. The record is from Ensembl.
AUGUAACCAGUUAAACCAACUGGCUCUUUCCUUGUGGGCGGUGGGAUGCAAUGGCUGUAGGUAGCAGCCCCCUUGGCAGUUCAUGCAGCUGUUGCUUGGAUGGAUUAAAUUAAGGGACUUUGGAGACAGAU